This 813-nucleotide ribosomal RNA is filed under the name Alternaria sp. RNAcentral's name for it is "LSU rRNA". It matches the Rfam family "Eukaryotic large subunit ribosomal RNA", at positions 76 to 907 of the family's 3401-position model. Lineage: Eukaryota; Fungi; Ascomycota; Dothideomycetes; Pleosporales; Pleosporaceae. The record is from RNAcentral.
UGCCCUAGUAACGGCGAGUGAAGCGGCAACAGCUCAAAUUUGAAAUCUGGCUCUUUUAGAGUCCGAGUUGUAAUUUGCAGAGGGCGCUUUGGCUUUGGCAGCGGUCCAAGUUCCUUGGAACAGGACGUCACAGAGGGUGAGAAUCCCGUACGUGGUCGCUGGCUAUUGCCGUGUAAAGCCCCUUCGACGAGUCGAGUUGUUUGGGAAUGCAGCUCUAAAUGGGAGGUACAUUUCUUCUAAAGCUAAAUAUUGGCCAGAGACCGAUAGCGCACAAGUAGAGUGAUCGAAAGAUGAAAAGCACUUUGGAAAGAGAGUCAAACAGCACGUGAAAUUGUUAAAAGGGAAGCGCUUGCAGCCAGACUUGCUUACAGUUGCUCAUCCGGGCUUUUGCCCGGUGCACUCUUCUGUAGGCAGGCCAGCAUCAGUUUGGGCGGUAGGAUAAAGGUCUCUGUCACGUACCUCCUUUCGGGGAGGCCUUAUAGGGGAGACGACAUACUACCAGCCUGGACUGAGGUCCGCGCAUCUGCUAGGAUGCUGGCGUAAUGGCUGUAAGCGGCCCGUCUUGAAACACGGACCAAGGAGUCUAACAUCUAUGCGAGUGUUUGGGUGUCAAGCCCGAGCGCGUAAUGAAAGUGAACGGAGGUGGGAACCCGCAAGGGUGCACCAUCGACCGAUCCUGAUGUCUUCGGAAGGAUUUGAGUAAGAGCAUGGCUGUUGGGACCCGAAAGAUGGUGAACUAUGCUUGAAUAGGGUGAAGCCAGAGGAAACUCUGGUGGAGGCUCGCAGCGGUUCUGACGUGCAAAUCGAUCGUCA